GCGCGAAAACUUUACAAUGCUGGCAACAGCGAUAAGGGAACCUCGAGUGCCAGGUUACAAAUCUGGCUGUCGUGAUGCCUAAAAAGCAUUGCAUAGCAAGGGCCGGGCAAGACCGGUGCCAGCCGCCGCGGUAACACCGGCGGCUCGAGUGGUUACCGUUAUUAUUGGGUCUAAAGGGUCUGUAGCCGGCCGGAUAAGUCUCUUGGGAAAUCUGGCAGCUUAACUGUCAGGCUUUCAGGAGAUACUGUCUGGCUCGAGGCCGGGAGAGGUGAGAGGUACUUCAGGGGUAGGGGUGAAAUCUUGUAAUCCUUGAAGGACCACCAGUGGCGAAGGCGUCUCACCAGAACGGACCUGACGGCAAGGGACGAAAGCUAGGGGCACGAACC
Molecule: ribosomal RNA, 386 nt
Filed under: uncultured prokaryote
Description: bacterial SSU rRNA
Rfam family: Archaeal small subunit ribosomal RNA
Source: RNAcentral